GACGGAGGGUGCAAGCGUUGUUCGGGUUGACUGGGCGUAAAGGGCGUGUCGGCGGUUGGUCAAGUCCGAUGUGAAAGCCCGGGGCUCAGCUCCGGAAGUGCAUCGGAAACUAGCCAGCUGGAGCGCGAUAGAGGAGGGUGGAAUUCCUGGUGUAGCGGUGAAAUGCGUAGAUAUCAGGAGGAACACCGGCGGCGAAGGCGGCCCUCUGGAUCGUUGCUGACGCUGAGACGCGAAAGCGUGGGGAGCAAACAGG
RNAcentral lists this ribosomal RNA (253 nucleotides) under uncultured bacterium. RNAcentral's name for it is "partial 16S ribosomal RNA". It matches the Rfam family "Bacterial small subunit ribosomal RNA", at positions 524 to 776 of the family's 1533-position model. The record is from RNAcentral.